Molecule: ribosomal RNA, 422 nt
Filed under: uncultured bacterium
Lineage: Bacteria
Description: bacterial SSU rRNA
Rfam family: Bacterial small subunit ribosomal RNA
Source: RNAcentral
UAAGGAAUAUUGGACAAUGCCCGCAAGGGUGAUCCAGCCAUGCCGCGUGCAGGAAGACGGCCCUAUGGGUUGUAAACUGCUUUUACACCGGAGAAAACCUCCCUUCGUGAAGGGAGCUGAUAGUAUGGUGAGAAUAAGCAUCGGCUAACUUCGUGCCAGCAGCCGCGGUAAGACGAAGGAUGCAAGCGUUAUCCGGAUUCAUUGGGUUUAAAGGGAGCGUAGGUGGACUGAUAAGUCAGUGGUGAAAUCUCGCAGCUUAACUGCGAAAUUGCCAUUGAUACUGUUGGUCUUGAGUAUAGUUGCCGUUGGCGGAAUAUGACAUGUAGUGGUGAAAUACAUAGAGAUGUCAUAGAACACCGAUUGCGAAGGCAGCUGACGAAACUAUAACUGACACUGAGGCUCGAAAGUGCGGGGAUCAAACA